GUUCUGUAAUGUUAUAUACACACGGUUUUUCGGUGAAAUACAUAAUAAUCAACGCGACCUUAUACGCGCGAUAUACUUAUUUCCUUUCCAUUAUCGUCCAAAACGGAAACGGUGUGUUGUCUGCGCGCGUAACGGCCGUACAUUACAUUAUUACGUUGACGUGUAUUUCCAGUGUACUUUAACCGGGUACUUAUAUAAUGACUUUAUUAUUAUUUCGAAUGCGUCUGCAGUCAACAAAGAGUCG
Cinara cedri is the source of this 244-nucleotide non-coding RNA. The record is from the annotation of a GenBank genome assembly. NCBI's taxonomy places the organism in Eukaryota, Metazoa, Arthropoda, Insecta, Hemiptera, Aphididae.